GAUGUUUCUCUCAGUCCUGAGAAAGAGGGAGUCCCUGAAGAAGUCCUUCAACAAACUCAGACUCAGCAGCUUUCAGUAGGAGAUCAUAUUCAGAGUGCAGAACUUCCCAAGAGUCUAACUGGACCUGAUGGACACAGUGGUCAGCAGCAGUUGGUGUGCUGUUAGACAGAGUGACCCACCAUGGAGUCUGACAGGCAGACUGACCAGCAGGGGGAGCCACAGCCCACCUCAGCCCCUCCCAGCAGCCUCCUGGACCUCCACCCUCCCACACUGAUCAAUAAAACUCCCACUACUGAUCCUGGAGUGUGGAGCUGGGAGGCGUGCAGGAACGCUGCUGUGGGUUUUCUCACUGGCCAUGUUCCUGCUGCACCAUUACUCUCUGUACACUGUGAUAAAGAGUCCAGGAGAAUCAGCUGGAGCUUCAUUCCCCACUGCACUUAUUACACUGUUUACACUCCCAUUACUUCAAUGACACACUCUGAUACACUGACAGAUCAGGAUAGCUGACUCACAUCCUGGAGGCAGCAGCACUAAAGUAAGAGGUGAAUCCAGACCAGUGAUCUCUUGCAGUUCAUCAUGCUGGAGGUCAGUGAAAGCAACUGUCCUGAUAGACAAGUUUGGUAUAAAUAAUAGUUCCAGUCAACAAGACAGAGGAAGGUUUAGAUGCUUUAUUUGAUUCAAGGUUAUGCUGACACCAAGAUUACCUCUAGUUUCACCAAAGAAUUCUAUGAGGCUUCAUCCUCUUGGGCAGUAUUUUUAACCUAGUUCCCUGAUAAUGCAUAUUUCUUUCACCUGGAGAACGGCAUUACAUCUCAGAAAACCUGGUUCAAAACUGUAAUUAACACUGAAAUUUGUCUGGUGUCUAAGAGUCCAAAAGGCAUAACUUUAAACCAAUAAAUGCCAUAUGAUAUAAA
This is a long non-coding RNA of Pygocentrus nattereri (red-bellied piranha), 914 nucleotides long. RefSeq lists it as uncharacterized. The transcript is spliced from 2 exons. NCBI's taxonomy places the organism in Eukaryota, Metazoa, Chordata, Actinopteri, Characiformes, Serrasalmidae. The record is from RefSeq and is a predicted model, not a curated record.